AAAAAACCCUUUUAAUGCGAGCAAGAAAUACUAAUAAAAAUAACAAAGCAUAUUAAUUAAUCAAAUUAUAUCGAAAUUAAUAAACGAACAAUUAUCCAGUAAAAAUGGUUGAAAAUAUGUAAGAGAGCGGGGAAAAAACCACAAGUACGUACAUAUCUUAACCAAAGGCCAUAACCUUGUUAUGACCCUCAUAGAAGUAGGAUACGAAGAACUGAAAAGAAUUUCUACAAUUCAACCAUUUACACGAAGUCAUGAAUCAUGACUACACCCAAAUCAUCAAUUUUUCGCUUCCAAGAUCAUGAUGGUAAGUUUCAAGACUUGCUAAUGGUACCAGAGAUGAGGUAUCUAAUAAGAAAUACCAAGUUUAUUCAGCUCAACCACUACCACACUAAUGUUAUCUUUGCUACCCCGAGCAAUUGCUAGCUCCACUAGCACUGCUGCUGCCUCAGCUGCACGACCUUCACUCAAGACUUCUUGGUAUUUCCUUCUCAUCCGCCCUCUUAAACAUCUCCUCACAAUCUGGCAUGCAACUUCGUUGGAAAUGACAUCCCACAACCCAUCACUGGCUAAUAUCAAGAAUUCAUCAUUUUUAGUUCGUUUAUUCACGGUGACUUCAGGUUUGCAUAUUAUAAACGGUUUAAGAUACCGAUCACCUAUAGAUCUGGAAGUAGCAAGAACUCCUAGAACACGGUGUCCGUUCCAGUUGAUAAUUCUUCCUCCAGCAGCUUCAACUCUCUCCAAUUCAUCGGGUCUGUCAGGCUUAUGAUCAACGGACAAUGGCACAGCUACACCAGCCCUACAAAGCACAGCUCUGGAAUCCCCACAAUUGGCCACAACCACCUCAUCUUUGCCGACCACCGCCACCACAGCCGUGGACCCCAUCAUCUUAUCUUUCUCUACUUCCUCAUCCAUCCUCCGAAAACACCCUUCCAUCACCUUGUCCCACUCUAUUCCCAUUCCUGCUCUACCCUCCACUAUCUCCUCCUCAAGCACUCUGUGCAACCUCUCCCUGCACGCCUCCGACACGCGAGCCCCACCGUGGCCAUCAUAAACACCAAAAAAGUCGUACUUUUCGCCUCCUUUGCACGUAAAACCUAAUUCUACUCUCACUGCAUCCUCCAUCUCUCUCCUCCUCCCUAUCACCGAAACGGAUCCAUAUGAUACACGCUUAAAACCCUGCAAAUCGUCGCUUUUCUUGAAUUCAUUUUCUUCGAAACUAGAUAUAACGACUUCGUUUUUAGAGGGAGCGUUAUCUGACGAGGAUGUUAAUGAUAACGCGAUCUCCGCCGAACAAUCACUCGCUUUUGUUUCGUGAACAGAGUCGGUAGAUUCUGUCUUCUGAUCGCCGGGGAUAGUGACAUACGUCUUCGUUUUACAUGUGUACUUGAGCCGCCGGAUUUUUAACCUUCUCCGGCGAGAAUUGAUGGUCUUGAUGACGGUGAGUUGAUUCAUUCCACCGAAUAGGCCGUCAGUCGCCAGAGAGCACAAAACAAAAGUUGAAAAAAAUCUGGGUAUCUACUUGUUCAUCUGCAUGUAGAAAUCAUAAGAAAAAAGACAGAAGGUGGGAAGUAGAAAGCGAAAGGCAAUAGCGAAUAGCUGUCGAUAUAAAUAGAAA
This 1615-nucleotide unclassified non-coding RNA is filed under the name Hevea brasiliensis (rubber tree). Lineage: Eukaryota; Viridiplantae; Streptophyta; Magnoliopsida; Malpighiales; Euphorbiaceae. The record is from RNAcentral.